This 64-nucleotide non-coding RNA is filed under the name Plasmodium falciparum 3D7. The record is from RNAcentral. Lineage: Eukaryota; Apicomplexa; Aconoidasida; Haemosporida; Plasmodiidae.
UAUAUCUAAAUACUGAUGAAAUAAAUUGUAAUAGCGAUAUGUAUUUUUAUCUGUACAGUCGAAA